Long non-coding RNA from Symphalangus syndactylus (siamang), 1944 nucleotides. RefSeq lists it as uncharacterized. NCBI's taxonomy places the organism in Eukaryota, Metazoa, Chordata, Mammalia, Primates, Hylobatidae. The record is from RefSeq and is a predicted model, not a curated record.
GGCUUCCCUGGCCCCGAAUGGCUGGCCGCAGGCAGGGCUGGCAGGAGGAGGCCACCACCACCCUUCGUGUCCCAGGAGGGCAUGGACAGUUGAGAGCGCCCAUAGGAACACUGCACAGUGGAGAACGCAUGCAGGCCUCCAACCAUGGCCAGGGCCCUGUGGCGUGGCCCCGUGUCUACCUGUAAAGGUGUGGGGCAGACUUGAGGAGCUCUAACCCGGCGCCUGGGACUUCAACUUCAGCCUCGUGCCUUGCUGCCAUUUGGGCCUUUCCUGCAGUCGUAUAACUGACAGACAGGUCAGGGCUGGAGGCUCCCCUCGGAGCACAGGCAGCACCUCUGCCGUGGGAGGACCCGGCUUCGGCCACAGAACCGGCCACUUAUAGAUGCUCGGAGCAGACAGUCAAGACUAGGGGGAGUUUGUGAGCUGGGUGACAUCUGGUUGGUCCCCUGAAAUCUGCCACGGUGGGCAGUUACACCACAGCCACGGGCAAAUGCUGCAAACCAGGACCCCCUCCCCAAGAUGGAUGCUCAAUGUUGUCAGCACCCUGCGUGGCAACCUCACUUCCUCCCACCCCACCCCAGAGUGCAAAGGACUUCAAACUACACACAACACAGCUCACCCACCAAGCAUGCCAGCAUGAGAGAACAUGCCUCAACUCCUGGGGUGCCCACCUGUGCCAGGGUCUCAUCCAGGGAAGCUCCUCACACCCACCCUCUUCUACACCCUCCUGAGGUGAGCAGUUGCCUCCAUGCCUCUCCAUCUCACCCACCCAGUGCUCACAGCCCCAGGCUGCAACCCUGGUGGGGAGGGCAGCUGUGCCGGUUUCUGUGUCCUCACCCCAGACAGACAGCUGCUGUGCCGGGCACAAGCCUGGGGUCACCCCAAACGCCUCUCUUCCUACUGCCCGAGGCCAGAGCGUGGCAGCAGUGCCCCUCACCACCACCACUUGCUAGGAUUUCCAUGAAGCCCUCCCAGCAGGGCUCCCUGCUCUGCCCCACAAGGACCGCCUAGUCCACACCGCAAGGUGAUCCUGUUAAAACCAAGUUGGAUCAAGUCAUUGGUCCGCUCAAAACCUCCCAGGGGCUCCAUGUGACUCAGAGUGAAAGCGAGUCCUGCCCCCCCGCCGGCUGGUGGGACCUGGGGUGACCCAGGGUGACCGAGUCCUGAGACCUGUAUCCUGUCUCCUGUGACUUGCAGCCCUCCCUCAAGGCCUGGACAGCAGCAGGCUCCUGCCCUUCCAAGGCCUCCAGGCCCUGAGGGUGCAGCUUGCCUCCAGCUCCACUACCUGGCAGAAACACACCGACCCCAACAAGAACUGGAAGGCUGAGGGGUGCAGUGUAAAAAGCCCCUGGCACACACUGGCAGGCGACUGCCCCACCCUCAGUGGCGAGGCAUGGUGACCUCACCUCUCCUCUCCUGGAACACAAACCCUGCCCUCUGAGACACCUACACCCCACACACUCAGAUUUUUGCAAAAACUCGAGGACAACACGAUACCAUGGUACCAGGACCCAACACCUGGCAAGGACCACACCGGGCAGGACGAGACCAGGAGGCGACAGUCAGACAGAGAAGCUAAAGAAACCAGGAGGCAUCUGUGCAAGGGAGCCCCACACGGACACUGGAAAGAACCAGGGCGACCUGCAGAUCAACUUGAAAGACCUCCCCUAGGGCGAUGGAAAUGAGAUGAGGCAAACGGCUUCCCGAUCAGAGCUCACGCACCUUCCACAUCUGUGCAGGGAGCUCGGGGCCACAUCCCGAGACGGGAAAGACAACUGAGGCUUCCACAAAGAAAUUACAAUGAAACAGACACUGGCCAGGCCAGCCGAAAAUCAGUGAUGGACUACGGUCCAAAUCGACGUGGAGGUUCCAACAAGAGAAAGACAGUGGUGGGGUCACCCUACUCCAGCCUCCGAGUGCCCCAGAGGGCGCACAAGCAGGACA